This 72-nucleotide transfer RNA is filed under the name Clostridiales bacterium. RNAcentral's name for it is "tRNA-Gly". It matches the Rfam family "tRNA". From Rfam's summary of the family: Transfer RNA (tRNA) molecules are approximately 80 nucleotides in length. Their secondary structure includes four short double-helical elements and three loops (D, anti-codon, and T loops). Lineage: Bacteria; Bacillati; Bacillota; Clostridia; Eubacteriales. The record is from RNAcentral.
GCGCGAGUGGCUCAGUGGUAGAGCAUCGCCUUGCCAAGGCGAGGGCCGCGAGUUCGAAUCUCGUCUCGCGCU